RNAcentral lists this ribosomal RNA (255 nucleotides) under uncultured bacterium. RNAcentral describes it as "partial 16S ribosomal RNA". It matches the Rfam family "Bacterial small subunit ribosomal RNA", at positions 524 to 776 of the family's 1533-position model. The record is from RNAcentral.
UACGGAGGGAGCUAGCGUUGUUCGGAAUUACUGGGCGUAAAGCGUGCGCAGGCGGUUAUGUAAGACAGAUGUGAAAUGCCCGGGCUCAACCUGGGAACUGCAUUUGUGACUGCAUGGCUAGAGUGUGUCGAGAGGGGGGUAGAAUUCCACGUGUAGCAGUGAAAUGCGUAGAUAUGUGGAGGAAUACCGAUGGCGAAGGCCAGCCCCCUGGGAUGACACUGACGCUCAUGCACGAAAGCGUGGGGAGCAAACAGG